UAUAGGUUUGGUCCUGGCCUUCCUGUUGUCUUUUAACAAACUUACACAUGCAAGUAUCCUCGUUCCAGUGAGAAUGCCCUCCAGGCCAACAAGACUAAGAGGAGCGGGUAUCAAGCACACACUCGUAGCUCACGACACCUUGCUUAACCACACCCCCACGGGACACAGCAGUGACAAAAAUUAAGCCAUAAACGAAAGUUUGACUAAGUUAUGUUAAUUAGGGUUGGUAAAUUUCGUGCCAGCCACCGCGGUCAUACGAUUAACCCAAGCUAACGGGAAUACGGCGUAAAACGUGUUUAAGCACUACACCAAAUAGAGUUAAAUUUUAAUUAAGCCGUAAAAAGCCAUAAUUAUUGUAAAAUAAAUAACGAAAGUGACUCUACAACAGCUGACACACCAUAGCUAAGACCCAAACUGGGAUUAGAUACCCCACUAUGCUUAGCCCUAAACACAAAUAAUUGUAUAAACAAAAUUAUUCGCCAGAGUACUACUAGCAAUAGCUUAAAACUCAAAGGACUUGGCGGUGCUUCAUACCCCUCUAGAGGAGCCUGUUCUAUAAUCGAUAAACCCCGAUAAACCUCACCAAUUCUUGCCAACACAGUCUAUAUACCGCCAUCUUCAGCAAACCCUAAAAAGGAACAAAAGUAAGCGCAAUCAUAGUACAUAAAAAAGUUAGGUCAAGGUGUAACCUAUGAAAUGGGAAGAAAUGGGCUACAUUUUCUUAAAUCAAGAAAACUAAUACACGAAAGCUAUUAUGAAAUUAAUAGCCAAAGGAGGAUUUAGUAGUAAACUAAGAAUAGAGUGCUUAGUUGAACCAGGCCAUGAAGCACGCACACACCGCCCGUCACCCUCCUCAAACAAAUACUAAUGCCCCAAAAUUUAUUUGCACACAUUAACCAUGAGAGAGGAGAUAAGUCGUAACAAGGUAAGCAUACUGGAAAGUGUGCUUGGAUAAAU
Molecule: non-coding RNA, 957 nt
Filed under: Tragelaphus oryx (common eland)
Lineage: Eukaryota; Metazoa; Chordata; Mammalia; Artiodactyla; Bovidae
Description: 12S ribosomal RNA
Rfam family: Bacterial small subunit ribosomal RNA
Source: RNAcentral